CGUGUAGGCGGUUUAUCAAGCCUGAUGUGAAAGACCCCGGCUUAACCGGGGGAACGCGUUGGGAACUGAUAGACUAGAGUGUAAGAGGGGUAGUUGGAAUUCCAGGUGUAGGGGUGAAAUCUGUAGAUAUCUGGAAGAACACCGGUGGCGAAGGCGAACUACUGGCUAUACACUGACGCUGAGGCGCGAAAGUGUGGGGAGCGAACA
Molecule: ribosomal RNA, 207 nt
Filed under: uncultured bacterium
Lineage: Bacteria
Description: partial 16S ribosomal RNA
Rfam family: Bacterial small subunit ribosomal RNA
Source: RNAcentral